GAACUUGUGAACUGCAAGAUCAUGACCUGAGCCGAAGAUCAGAUGCUUAACCAACUGAGCCACCCAGCCACCCCUGUCAAGGCUUCCUAACGUAUGGGACAUAAGGAAGUGGUGUGGAGUGCAUCCUUGGGGGUGUUCCAGAAGAGGACACCAAAGGCAGAAAGAAGCUCCUUCAGCUCUUGCUUGUUUUGUUAAUGGGUAUUCACUGACAUGUAAUACUCUAUCAUCCAUAAAAUGCAUCCAUAGACAUUUUCCAUUUGACUUCCAAGCAAUCCUACUGAGGAUGAAAAGAAUCAACUGAUGACAACAAAUGUGUGGCUCAAACAGAUGACACUGUUUAUGGACAGCAAGAGUGGACUUCUGUUUGAAGGCUUGCCCACAUAUGUCGCAUUCAAAGGGGUCCUCUGAUGUGUGAAUUCUAUGAUGUCGAACAAAAUUUGCCUGACGUCUGAAGACUCUUCCACAUUCACUGCAUUUGUAAGAUUUUGCGUUUGGAGGGAUUUGCUUAUGCUGCAAAAACAGUGAUCUCUGACUGAAAGGCUUUCCAUACUCAUCACACUGGCCACGCCUCCUCCCUGUUUGAGCAUUCUGACCUUGAAUAAGGUGAAGGUUUUGAAGGAAGUUCUUACUGCAUUCAUCACCAAUAGUGGGAAAGGCAAGUCUGUAAAUGUCCACCAAUUCGUUACAUUUACGUAACUUUUCUGAAGAUCCCUUGGCUGUUUGCUGCUUUACUGCCGAUGUCUUACACGACUCUAAAUCUUUAAAGAUCUUCUGCCCUGGAGUUGGCUUUUUCAUCUUCCAUCUGGCUUCAGAACCUAACCAAAUAAAAAGAAGACAUAGAAAUGACCUGCCCACCACAUCACAGAAGGAAAAAAAAGAAGCCACCUGUGUGUGUGGAAGACACUCAAGUGAAACGAAGUGCUUGCUUAGUUAUAUUGUCCUGCUAAAGAGGCCCAAAUUCUGAUUUCCACAGGACUCACGGCUUUGACACCAGAAAGAGUUCUCAAAAUAAACUGAACGACUGAAAAAUGCACAAGUGUGUGUCAGAGAAGUGAGAACUGAGUAAAUAUAUCACUACUAUUGGAAAAAUAAAACUCUCGGUACUCAGUGAAGUCACAUAAA
Lynx canadensis (Canada lynx) is the source of this 1122-nucleotide long non-coding RNA. RefSeq lists it as uncharacterized. The record is from RefSeq and is a predicted model, not a curated record. NCBI's taxonomy places the organism in Eukaryota, Metazoa, Chordata, Mammalia, Carnivora, Felidae. The transcript is spliced from 3 exons.